Molecule: long non-coding RNA, 3528 nt
Organism: Protopterus annectens (West African lungfish)
Lineage: Eukaryota; Metazoa; Chordata; Ceratodontiformes; Protopteridae
Exons: 3
Source: RefSeq, a predicted model, not a curated record
UUUCAGCUGCGCAGUAAAAGUGAAGUUUUUUAAAGUGGGAACUAGUUCCGAAGAGUUGAUAUCAGCUCUGAUUGGAAGGUGCCAGUCGUGGCUUGCUAGAAGCUUAACUACUGAUCAAAUGCCAGAAUGUCGACCAUACUGGGAAAAUGGUGACCCAAAGAUGCCGCUUCCAUUUGACCUGUCAGAAAUAAUUUUAGAUCUGGAAAGCCAGCUAAUGCCUACAGCUGUACUUAAAACUCAUCCGUAAGUCUGCAUUGGUUUCUACCUCCUUCCAGAUACUGAAAAGCAGAGAUCAUAAAAGGGCAAAAAUCACUCAAAGUACAACUGCUUACAAUUUUUUUUCUAUCUCCGGGAUCACCAUCUUCUUAGUAAGAGGCACUCAGUCCUCCAAGAUGUACAAUUUUGAUGAUGUGCUGUCUAAGUUGUGUUUGUGUCACCAGCUGGUUAUUGUCCUAGAAAAUUGACUGAAGUGUUUUGAGCAGCAUAGAAUGAGAAGUUGACCAUCAGUACAAUUAUGCAAGCCUGGGCCAGUGGAAUGCAGACAUGUUUAAGCACUGAUAACAGAGAGACCGAUACCUCUAUAGAAUUUCCUGAUGCUCGAGGCAGUCAGCUUCCAUGUAUAGCUCUGCCAUUUGGCUGUGGUCAAGCUUUUUUAUCAGGAUUCUUAUUGAUUCGUAAAUGCAAACUUUAAGUAGUGAAGACAUCCCUUUAGACCUCUGACCCCCAGAAGGUCCAUGAGGAUAAUGAACAGGAAUUUUCAGAGAGGUGGCAACAGAGGAGGGUAACCUGGAAUGUGAAUGACACACAUUACAACAGGAGGAUGGGGACAGAACCACAGUAAAGGAGUUAGUCAACGUUUCUGUUAUUAAGAAUGAUAGUGACAAUUUAAAAAAUUUUAACUACAAUGAUGUCGAAGUUAACAACAAAUGAGUCAACCUGUUUGAGAAAGGCCUAACUUUUCUUCCCGAUAGAAAAGCCAAAAUUGAAAAUGCAUUGAUCAACUUUAAAUUAUUUGCUACGAAGUUGAAUUUGUUUAUAUUUUUCUAACACUAAUUUUAGUACCUACAGUUUAUCUAGACCAAGUACCUUUUUAAUUCACCCCUGCGUCCCACUGUGUGUUUGAGAAAAUACAUGAGUGUGACAUUAGAAAAAUUGUGCAAGGUAACAAGUAUAGGAGGCCAAAUCUUACGAAGGAUGAAAAAGUUUUAUUAAAUCAUAGUAUCAAGGAUAGACAAAUUAGGUUACUGAAACCAGACAAAGGUGGCAGCAUGGUCGUUAUGAAUUUUAAUGACUAUAUUCAUAAAAUGUUUACCAUUUUAUACACUAACACAAACAAAAAGGUGUCAGUCAGUCAAAGGAAGAUAACAUGUAGAUGCUUUGUUACAAGAGUUGUUGACACAGGAUCAAGUUACAAAACAUGAAUUUGAUGUGUUGAAUGUAUAUACACCAAGAACUCCUAUUUUUGGUAUUCCUAAGACACAUAAGGAUUUGUAUGAUGCACCUCCUCAUCCAAUAGUUGAUGCCAAAUCCUCCAAAACAAGUUAUUUGGCCAAAUUUACAGAUGCAAAACUCAAAAAUUUGACAACUAACAUUAAGUACCUGUUCACAGACUUAUGAGAUUUUUUUAAGUAGAAUUAGACUCUUUCUAUAAGGACCAAUUCAUUUUGCAAGCAUAGACAUCAAGGAUCUAUUUUCUGUGAUUCCACAUGAACUAGGUGUAGAGUGGUUUUACCAGUUUUUAUGUACGAACACUCAAUUUGUACAUAAAGACGUAUUAGUUCUUAGGAACAUGAUGGAAUUUAUUCUUACCAAUAACUAUAUUUUUUGAAGGACAACUGUUAUGACAAAAAACAGGUGUGGUUGUGGAGGCAGCCUGUGCCCCCAUUUUCUCUAAUUUAGUGAUAGCUUACUGGGAACAGAAUUAUAUAUUUAAUUCUUCUUUCAAAGCUUCAUGUUCCCUAUAUGGUCGUUUUUUUGGAUGUCAUCAUCAUAUUUUUAGACAAGCAGUUGAUACAUUAAAGGAAUUUUUUGAAUACAUUAAUGGUAUCACUGAAUUUUUUAAAUUCACCAUGAACCAGGAUGAACUACUUAGAUGUAUUCAUUUUUAAAAACAGGGAACUGAAUAAAUUUGAAUCAACAAUUUUUAGAAGAUCCACAUAUUCUAACCCUUUGUUGUACUUCUGUUGUUGGCACCCACGUUUUCAAAAAAAGCCUUGGUAAAAGGACAGACGGUGCAUUUAGCGAGGAUGGUUUCCCAAGACAAGGUUUUUUUUAUGACAGAUGUGAAAAACUGUGUGAGAUGCUGGUUAAAAGGGGUUAUCCUGUGACCUUAAUUAUGAAAGGCAAAGCAAAAUUUCUCAUUCCCUUUUGGGUAAAAAUGAAUUUGUCUUUCGCAGAGAUGAGCAGUAUGAGGGAAGGCUCAGGUCGAAUUGAACCUGUAUCUUAACAUUUAAUAUAGACUUUCAGGCUAUCAAAAAGGUCAUUUGUAAGAACUGGGGCAUUUUUUUCUAUUGACAAUGACUUAAUGCAGACAGGAGAAGCACCAAGGUUAUAUACAAGAAGAAUAUAUGUUUUAUGUUUUAAGAACCUUCUUGAGAGGUACAAGGAAGUUUGCAUCUCCCCAGGUAUGAGAACCUAUGGAUGUUGCAACCAAUAUCACAACAUUUUGGAAGGUAGUACAUUAUUUACUGAGGGAUAUGGUGAGGUGCUUAUCACACAUAAGUAACACUGUUUAAAUAGAAGAGUAGUUUCUGUUUCCCUGUGCACAAGCUGCCCCGGUUUUUAUAUAGGAAAAGCCGAAAGGGCUUUAAAAGCCAGAAUUUAUCAGCAUUUAUAUGACAUUAUAAAAGGGGGGGGGGGCGAAAGAAACGCCAUUUUCAAACAUAUUACAAACAACACUAGACAUAUGUUUAAAUUCUCUGUAAUAGAUAAUGUUUUCAUAGAUGAAAAACAUGGAUCAUGGAAGGACUGGAUUGAGGUAAAAGAACUGAAAUGGCAAUUAAAGACCAACGCCACCAGUAAAUAUGGUUUAAAAUGAAAUGGUUUCUAUCAGCAGUGUUUUAAGAUGGAAGGCAGUAUUGUAAAAUUGUGGAUUUUAAUAAUAUUUAUUGAAAGGAAGUGUUUAUACCACGUUUUGUAACAAAUAUGUUCAAGAAUCACGUUCAUAGACAUGUUAUGUUAUUUAAUGUGCAACAUCCAAGGCUCCUAGUAGUUUUUAAAAAAGAUUAAUAUUUUUAAAAGAACAACAGUUUUAGUUUUAUAUUUAGUUUUUAAAGUUUUUUUAGACAAAAUGUUUAAUACAAAUUACAUGCAUCUGAAUGGAUUUUCAUGUGCUUGUCACUUUAAGUUAACAAGAUGGGUGGAGAUAAGUUUAUAUAAGGACAGAAAUGGUGUAAGCAUUUAUUCUGAUGAAGUCCCAUCAUCAGGAGUGAAAGCACUCAAUGAGUUUUCAAUGAGAUUUAUUUUUACAAAUGUUCUUGGUUUUAAAUGGUGUUUUUAUCAUCCUUGGAAUAAAACAAAUUAACUGGA